This 197-nucleotide ribosomal RNA is filed under the name uncultured bacterium. RNAcentral's name for it is "partial 16S ribosomal RNA". It matches the Rfam family "Bacterial small subunit ribosomal RNA", at positions 329 to 539 of the family's 1533-position model. The record is from RNAcentral.
ACGCUGACACCUACGGGAGGCAGCAGUGGGGAAUAUUGCACAAUGGGGGAAACCCUGAUGCAGCGACGCCGCGUGGAGGAAGAAGGUCUUCGGAUUGUAAACUCCUGUUGUUGGGGAAAAAGAGGAUGGUACCCAACAAGGAAGUGACGGCUAACUACGUGCCAACAGCCGCGGUAAUCUGAGCGGGCUGGCAAGGC